GUAANACACUGGAAACAGAUGCUAAUACCGGAUAACAACACUAGACGCAUGUCUAGAGUUUAAAAGAUGGUUCUGCUAUCACUCUUGGAUGGACCUGCGGUGCAUUAGCUAGUUGGUAAGGCAACGGCUUACCAAGGCAAUGAUGCAUAGCCGAGUUGAGAGACUGAUCGGCCACAUUGGGACUGAGACACGGCCCAAACUCCUACGGGAGGCAGCAGUG
RNAcentral lists this ribosomal RNA (220 nucleotides) under uncultured bacterium. Its description in RNAcentral is "partial 16S ribosomal RNA". It matches the Rfam family "Bacterial small subunit ribosomal RNA", at positions 141 to 356 of the family's 1533-position model. The record is from RNAcentral.